This 270-nucleotide ribosomal RNA is filed under the name uncultured bacterium. RNAcentral describes it as "partial 16S ribosomal RNA". It matches the Rfam family "Bacterial small subunit ribosomal RNA", at positions 84 to 354 of the family's 1533-position model. The record is from RNAcentral.
CCCGCCGGCGACCGGCGCACGGGUGAGUAACACGUAUGGAACCUGCCCGCAGCAGGGGGAUAAGCGGAAGAAAUUCCGUCUAAUACCGCGUAACACCGCAGAGGGGCAUCCCUCGGCGGUUAAAGAUUCAUCGGCUGCGGAUGGCCAUGCGGCGCAUUAGCUAGUCGGCGGGGUAACGGCCCACCGAGGCGACGAUGCGUAGGGGUUCUGAGAGGAAGGUCCCCCACAUUGGAACUGAGACACGGUCCAAACUCCUACGGGAGGCAGCAG